AGGCUCCACCGGGAACCUGUCCCAGACGCCUACCCCGCCUGAGCCAGAGGAAGGGAGGAAAACAAUAGCAAAAACCAGGACCCUUCGGACUUGCCGCUGAAUGGGGAUUUUCGUCGGAUGUUGAGUUUACCUGGAAUGCCCCGGUGUUAUUUUGGGAAGGCAGACAUCCCACGGAAACAAUGAAGUGGAAAAGAAAACAGCUAAAGCAAAAUCUAGAGCCCAGUUUUUGCCAAACCAGCCCCACGUGGGCUGGGCAGGCUCUGGAAGCCCAAGUCAGGCCGAUGAAGAGCGGCUGAGGCCGUGGGGAUCUGGUUUACCAGGAGGGCACAUGGAGGAUGCAAGAAAAGGAAGAGCCGUAUUCAAGUCCCCACUUCAGUGAUGAGGCAGAAAGACCCUGCGCCUGACCACGUGGGAACAGCCUGCAGUGAGCGGUGACGCCGCCUGGCUUGAGCUAAGUGCUGGGCUCCACCAUUCAUUGGCUGAGUGACCUUAGAUGAGAAGAGAAUGAGCCAUGUGUUUCCUGAAACAUCCAGUGGCCUCACCGGAGAAUCUGCAAGAGCCGGUAAACCCAGAAGCUUGGCCGUCCAUUCCUGGAAGCAGACAUUGUGUCUUCGUCCACCAAGCCCCUGGCUCUCAACACUCACUGUGGUGGCAAGAACAUGGCACCUUGACCCUACACAGUUCUUCCAUUUUUCAGAAGCAGCUCCAGACCCUUGUCCCCAGGUUUUGACCCCACCCAGACCUUUGCCUGGGACGGAAAGCUGCUUCAUUUCAGGAGACACCUGAAGUACCUGGGUUGGUUCAGAGACUACCAGAAGUUUUUGGACUUCUUCUAGUCCUUUAAUGGCCAAAAGGACUCAAGGGCCUGGCAUGUAAUGGAAAAGGCAUCACCUCUCUCAUGGAACGCAGCUGGAAGGACCAACCCCUUCAUAGUUACAGGAAUCUGAGCUAUGAAGACACUAGCCAGGCAACAAGGCCCUGGGCUCAGACACAGAUGAAGUUUCUCUGGAAGAGAAAUCUGGCCUGUUACAGACCUGGGAAGUGCCAAGGCUUAGCUCCUGAGAAGGAUUGCUGGUGCUGACAGCUGGGAGUCAGGACUCCAGGGCCACUUGUAUGGAAGCUGGUGCCCGUGGUGCAGGAGGAUGGGGGCUCUGGAUUCUGCACCACCCCCCAUAGACUGGCCCCUCAGAGGGCUCCUGUGGUGUCAGAGCCCUCUCACAAGCGCCUGCCGUGGUUAUCAGCUGAAGCUGAGUGCUUGUGGAGUGUGGACAGAGGGCAGAGGGAGAGAAGCAGCCAUGGGCUUCCUGCCAGGAAGCUCAGCAGCUCCGAGGAGACUGGAGAGUCAUGGGACACAGUGCGUCCUCCCCAGAACAGCCUCCAGCCUGCCAGUUCAGAGCACACGCUUGGAGGCAGGAAGGCUGAGGUCCAACCCCAUUCCUGCUAUGGGCCAGCUGAGAGCUGUGGACAAGUCAUUCGGCUUCUCUGAGCCGCAGUCUUCUCACCUGUAAAGCGGGGGUAAUAAUACCCUCCUCACAAGGUUGUUGCAAGGCUUUGUGGGGAAAAAUACAAAGUGCACAGAGUUGUUCAGUAAGGCGUGGGCCUGCGGGGAAAGGCGGGGCCAUGAGCUGGCCAGGGGAGGAAAGGACAGAUGGGGACUCCAGAUAAUGAAAGCAUCUUUGCAUCCUCAAUGAUAUAAUCUGGGUUUGUUGUUGUUGUUGUUGUUUGAGACAGAGUCUCGCUCUGUCCCCCAGGCUGGAGUGCAGUGGUGCAAUUUCAGCUCACUGCAACCUGUACUUCCCGGGUUCAAGUGAUUCUCCUGCCUCAGCUUCCUGAGUAGCUGGGAUUACAGGUGCCCGCCACCAUGCCUGGCUAAUUUUUCUGUUUUUAAUAGAGACAGGGUUUCGCCAUGUUGGCCAGGAUGGCCUCGAGCUCCUGACCUCAGCUGAUCCACCCUCCUCAGCCUCCCAAAGUGCUGCGAUUACAGGCAUGAGCCACCGCGCCCGGCCCAUCUGGAGUUUUUUUGUUUGUUUGUUCCUCAUAAAGGCUACGAGGAGAGGAAGGGGCCUAGAACACAGGAUGGUGGAAGAGGGGCUCAUGGGUGGAGGGGAGGAGAGCAGAUGAGCAGGGACCCUCCCCCUUCCUCGGCAACCAUGGGGUUUGCCACACAUAUAUUUUUGAUGUCCCAUGUAUCAGGUGGAGAUGUCAACUUCUAUGAACUGAAAUAAACUGUUUCCCUAUGUGUAAAA
Long non-coding RNA from Homo sapiens (human), 2246 nucleotides. Ensembl annotates it as long intergenic non-protein coding RNA 1936. The record is from Ensembl. NCBI's taxonomy places the organism in Eukaryota, Metazoa, Chordata, Mammalia, Primates, Hominidae.